Molecule: ribosomal RNA, 255 nt
Filed under: uncultured bacterium
Lineage: Bacteria
Description: partial 16S ribosomal RNA
Rfam family: Bacterial small subunit ribosomal RNA
Source: RNAcentral
GACAGAGGUCUCGAGCGUUAGGCGGAAUUACUGGGCGUAAAGCGCACGUAGGCGGAUUUGUAAGUCAGGGGUGAAAUCCCGGGGCUCAACCUCGGAACUGCCUUUGAUACUGCAAAUCUCGAGUCCGGAAGAGGUGAGUGGAAAUUUCUAGUGUAGAGGUGAAAUUCGUAGAUAUUAGGAAGAACACCAGUGGCGAAGGCGGCUCACUGGUCCGGUACUGACGCUGAGGUGCGAAAGCGUGGGGAGCAAACAGGG